GCCGAGAUGGUGAAAUUGGUAGACGCACUAGAUUCAGAGUCUAGCGCCCGCAAGGGCUUGGGGGUUCAAAUCCCCCUCUCGGCA
This 84-nucleotide transfer RNA is filed under the name Candidatus Ancaeobacter aquaticus. Its description in RNAcentral is "tRNA-Leu". It matches the Rfam family "tRNA". From Rfam's summary of the family: Transfer RNA (tRNA) molecules are approximately 80 nucleotides in length. Their secondary structure includes four short double-helical elements and three loops (D, anti-codon, and T loops). Further hydrogen bonds mediate the characteristic L-shaped molecular structure. tRNAs have two regions of fundamental functional importance: the anti-codon, which is responsible for specific mRNA codon recognition, and the 3' end, to which the tRNAs corresponding amino acid is attached (by aminoacyl-tRNA synthetases). tRNAs cope with the degeneracy of the genetic code in two manners: having more than one tRNA (with a specific anti-codon) for a particular amino acid; and 'wobble' base-pairing, i.e. permitting non-standard base-pairing at the 3rd anti-codon position. Lineage: Bacteria; Pseudomonadati; Candidatus Auribacterota; Candidatus Ancaeobacteria; Candidatus Ancaeobacterales; Candidatus Ancaeobacteraceae. The record is from RNAcentral.